GGACCUGUAGCUCAGCGGAUAGAGCGCAGCCCUCCGGAGGCUGAAGCGGGAGUUCGAUUCUUCUCAGGUCCA
Non-coding RNA from Clostridiales bacterium, 72 nucleotides. NCBI's taxonomy places the organism in Bacteria, Bacillati, Bacillota, Clostridia, Eubacteriales. The record is from Rfam.